AGGAACGUUGAAGACGACGACGUUGAUAGGCCGGGUGUGUAAGCGCAGCGAUGCGUUGAGCUAACCGGUACUAAUGAACCGUGAGGCUUAACCUU
Molecule: ribosomal RNA, 95 nt
Organism: Klebsiella sp. RIT-PI-d
Lineage: Bacteria; Pseudomonadati; Pseudomonadota; Gammaproteobacteria; Enterobacterales; Enterobacteriaceae
Rfam family: Bacterial large subunit ribosomal RNA
Source: Rfam